Molecule: small RNA, 34 nt
Filed under: Bombyx mori (domestic silkworm)
Lineage: Eukaryota; Metazoa; Arthropoda; Insecta; Lepidoptera; Bombycidae
Description: ovarian small RNA-13989
Source: RNAcentral
CCUGAAAAAGGUUAUCAGAAAAAUCUUAGAAGAA